ACCUGGCUGGCUCAGUGGGUAGAGUGUGCAAUUCUUGGUCUCGACGUUGUGAGUUCGAGCCCCACGCUGGGUG
RNAcentral lists this transfer RNA (73 nucleotides) under Ailuropoda melanoleuca (giant panda). It matches the Rfam family "tRNA". From Rfam's summary of the family: Transfer RNA (tRNA) molecules are approximately 80 nucleotides in length. Their secondary structure includes four short double-helical elements and three loops (D, anti-codon, and T loops). Lineage: Eukaryota; Metazoa; Chordata; Mammalia; Carnivora; Ursidae. The record is from Rfam by way of RNAcentral.